UUAAAUUGAAGAGUUUGAUCAUGGCUCAGAUUGAACGCUGGCGGCAGGCCUAACACAUGCAAGUCGAACGGUAACAGGAAGCAGCUUGCUGCUUCGCUGACGAGUGGCGGACGGGUGAGUAAUGUCUGGGAAACUGCCUGAUGGAGGGGGAUAACUACUGGAAACGGUGGCUAAUACCGCAUAACGUCGCAAGACCAAAGAGGGGGACCUUCGGGCCUCUUGC
Molecule: ribosomal RNA, 223 nt
Filed under: Salmonella enterica subsp. enterica serovar Typhimurium
Lineage: Bacteria; Pseudomonadati; Pseudomonadota; Gammaproteobacteria; Enterobacterales; Enterobacteriaceae
Also listed under: 1 other name
Description: partial 16S ribosomal RNA
Rfam family: Bacterial small subunit ribosomal RNA
Source: RNAcentral